Molecule: ribosomal RNA, 346 nt
Filed under: uncultured bacterium
Lineage: Bacteria
Description: bacterial SSU rRNA
Rfam family: Bacterial small subunit ribosomal RNA
Source: RNAcentral
CUAGCGACUUCAGAGUUUGAUCCUGGCUCAGGAUAAACGCUGGCGGCGUGCAUAACACAUUCAAGUCGAACGGACUUAAUUGAGAAGCUUGCUUUGAGAUUAAGUUAGUGGCGGACGGGUGAGUAACGCGUGAGCAACCUGCCUAUCAGUGGGGAAUAACGUUUGGAAACGAACGCUAAUACCGCAUAACGUAUCGAGAUCGCAUGUUUUUGAUACCAAAGAUUUAUUGCUGAUAGAUGGGCUCGCGUCUGAUUAGGUAGUUGGUGAGGUAACGGCUCACCAAGCCGACGAUCAGUAGCCGGACUGAGAGGUUGAACGGCCACAUUGGAACUGAGAAACGGUCCAG